Non-coding RNA from Parelaphostrongylus tenuis, 71 nucleotides. The record is from the annotation of a GenBank genome assembly. Lineage: Eukaryota; Metazoa; Nematoda; Chromadorea; Rhabditida; Metastrongylidae.
ACCUCGGUAGUGUAGUGGUAACACGAGUCCCUGGUCUGGAGGGAACGCGGAUUCGACUCCCGUCUGAGGUU